UACGGAGGAUGCGAGCGUUAUCCGGAUUUAUUGGGUUUAAAGGGUGCGUAGGCGGACUGUCAAGUCAGCGGUAAAAUUGAGAGGCUCAACCUCUUCCCGCCGUUGAAACUGGUGGUCUUGAGUGGAUGAGAAGUACGCGGAAUGCGUGGUGUAGCGGUGAAAUGCAUAGAUAUCGCGCAGAACUCCGAUUGCGAAGGCAGCGUACCGGCGCCAGACUGACGCUGAGGCACGAAAGCGUGGGGAUCGAACAGG
RNAcentral lists this ribosomal RNA (252 nucleotides) under uncultured bacterium. RNAcentral describes it as "partial 16S ribosomal RNA". It matches the Rfam family "Bacterial small subunit ribosomal RNA", at positions 524 to 776 of the family's 1533-position model. The record is from RNAcentral.